This 253-nucleotide ribosomal RNA is filed under the name uncultured prokaryote. Its description in RNAcentral is "partial 16S ribosomal RNA". It matches the Rfam family "Bacterial small subunit ribosomal RNA", at positions 524 to 776 of the family's 1533-position model. The record is from RNAcentral.
UACGGAGGGAGCUAGCGUUGUUCGGAAUUACUGGGCGUAAAGGGCGCGUAGGCGGCGUGGUAAGUCACUUGUGAAAUCUCCGAGCUUAACUCGGAACGGUCAAGUGAUACUGCUGUGCUAGAGUGCAGAAGGGGCAAUCGGAAUUCUUGGUGUAGCGGUGAAAUGCGUAGAUAUCAAGAGGAACACCUGAGGUGAAGACGGGUUGCUGGGCUGACACUGACGCUGAGGCGCGAAAGCUAGGGUAGCAAACGGG